AGUUUCACUUUCUGAAGGAUAACGAACAAAUCCUCAUGGUGAACGAACACAGAAACUCUUUCUGUCUUGGCUACUGUUUCUGUCUUGACUACAAUCAUGAACCAUAAACAAACCAUCAAGGCAAAAGUGCUCAUACAUAUGAUUUUCAUACUUUAUAUAUAAAUUCCAUAUAAUUCCCACAUCCUGGAAUGGGGUUCUUAUGGGCAUCCACAUGUCCUCCUUUAAUGUAUGUAACAGAGCCAUUAGUUACAGCCUGGGUCAGUAAAAAUCUAAACAUAGGGCGUUUAAUCAUUGUUCAAUUCUCUCAUCACUGCCAGGAGCACAGCAUGUACUUCUGCCCACUGAGCUGAUUUAGUCUUAACCUUCCUGAACUACUCCUGCCAUGCGCUGGUCUUGAGCAGGUUUCCAAACAGGAUAUUGUCCGUUCAUCUUGGAACUGCCAUCUGUAAUCCCAGGAGCUCUUUGCUGUUCAGGUGAGACCUAUUCACAGGGCACAGCCCAUGUAGCGGUUCUGGCAGCUCAUCGGGGGCUCCAGGUUGGUCCUGGACAAAGAGGCUGGUUGCUAGUGGACACAGUGUGGGCCUCCUCAUACCCUUGCCACUGCCACCUGUAUGAACCAUUACCUUUUUAAUAUGGAAGUGUGGGCCCUGCCUGCCUUAUGAGAAUGUUUCUCUGGUAUCAUCCAAGACAAGCAUCUCCGGCUCCAAGACUUACGUCCUUUAGUCCUUGAGGAGGUCUCAGUGCCCAAGGCCAGGCUGAUGAUUCUAGUGGGUACCAGGCAGCAGUGUCUGGGAAGAGGGGCUCAUGGGCUUUUGCCACAAUCUCCAGUCUGUGUGGGUACAGGUGGCAGAUUCUUCCAAAAUAUGUCUGAGUGGGGGUCUUAAUGGCCCAGAGGUGUCCAGAGUUCAACUACCUUUUUUUUUACUCACAAUAUUUCUUGCUUUUGUUAAGGUCCCACUCAAAUACAGCUCUCAUUUGUGUAGUCUUAUAGAUGCAAUAUAACAGUAUUCCCAGAUGUAAAAUAGGAAUCGUCCAAAAUCCAAAAUACACCAACCAAGUGCUAGGUGUCUUGUUUGGAUGUAGGGGUGGGUAGUGACAGCAGUUUACUGUUAGUCACUUGUGGAAUAUCCCAGGUGCCUUCUGCCCACAUUAUUCCUAUGUUCACUGUUGAGUAGGACCUCGGGCCUUUGCUGCUUUUAUUACUGAGCCUUGCUUGGUCAUAUGUGUCACUACCAUGUUCAAAUCAGUCCUAACUGGCUCUUAUGCUUCUUAUAUUAUAAUAUCAUCCACAUACUGUAUCACACUGGAGACGUGCAUCAAGUCCAAAUCCCUCCUGACCAAGUUGUAGUCAGGAGAUGGUGGGUUCAGGUAACUUUGACCACAGUAAACAUAAACUGAGAUUCUUCCGACAUGAAGGAAAAUUUGGGUUGGCUCUUCUAGAGAUGGAGAUGGAGAAGAAAGCAUUUGCAAGUUCAGUCCCUGAAUACCAGCCGCCUUCAGUCUGCUGUGUUUUGUGUAUGGUUUAGGGCACUUUUGGAAUUGCUGAGGCUUUGAGUGGUACAGUGUUCUUUAAACCACAAGUCUGCUAUCGGUGAGCCAUUGGCCCUUUCUUAGUCCACGCAGGGCUAUUGUACAGUGAAUUCUUGGUCACCGGCACUCUAGCUUCUAGCAUGUCAGUAAUUAAAGCAGGUAUUUAGUGAUUCAAGUUCACCACCAGUGUGGUCUCAGGUAGAGGGGGAAGGGGACCAAGGAGCAUUAUGAUUAGGACACAUAACGAGGUAGGUCUUGGAGGAAGGCAGCAGAGCAUGGAGAAGACUGACUAGCAUCUUACUGUGCUGACUGACUGCAUUGGGGGUGAGGACUUGAUAGUACAGGUAAAUGUUGAAACCACAGUGUUCACGUGAAACCUUUGUAAGGUUGUAUGUCAAUGAUACUUUAAUAAAAAAAAAAACAGGUUUUGAAAUCACACUAUUGCACUCCCAAACCGAGUUCUAGGAAAGGUCCUUCCCAUCCCCCCAGCCAUUUAACUAACCCUUGUUGAGAUGGCCUCAGGUCCCCGGUUGGGGGUGCGGCCAGAGACCCCACCCCUCUUGUCAGUCAGACUGAAUAAACCCGCGUGACCAGCGCCCUGGUGGGUUCAUGCUCACGUUUUCAUUGUAAUCUUGACCUUCCUACUUUUUUAAUUCCUCCAAACUGGAGUAGAGUAGACUUCCUUGGGCCUCUGUGAUGUUGGGGGGCACAUCAGGAGUCCCCACUGGCUCACCCAGUCUCCUGUAGUGCUGCAUUAACACCUUUGCUUCAAAGCCAUCACUCUGCUUCUUUUGUCCUAUUUUUCAAUAACCGUCUGAAGGCUUUUAUGCCAAGUCUCUUGACUCUCCCCAUUUUCUUUAAUUACAUUAAUGCUGUUGAUAUGGGUAGACCCUCUCAGGGAAGCUAACAGAUCCGAUAAGGCUUCUCAAACUGGUUUGGUAACGGUAACUUUACAUGGGGUGCCUCCGUAACAGGCCCCCUUGAUCACAGCAUUCGCCAUCACCUGAGCGACAGGAAUAUGCAGUGGGUGAGUGUUUUGGUCAUGAAGCCAAUCCCACGUGGCCUGCCUACGGAGAAUAUCAGCCGCCUCAUCCGGGUGUUCAUUUGGCCUUUUGGGGGGGAGUUGGGCAGCCCUCCUCCACAGGAUAAACAGACCUUACAGUGGCUUUUAUGCCGUCCACCAGCUGGCUGUUCUCAGGAGUAACGUCCCAUGUGUCUGGAUGACAGCCAGCUGUGACUGCCCAGUAGUGAGCGAUGCGUCCUGCAUCAGCCCAAGCACGCUUGCUCUCUGCAGCAUUUGAAACCAAAGCCACAGACCCCAAGGGGUUAUUCUCACAGUCCACUUUAGGACAGGUUCUGCUGUCAGUGCUGGCAGUGCUGAUCCACACUGCGUCCACUGUUCUCGGUCACCUCCUGGCGUUCGCCUCCCCCCGAAUUAACUGUCGUCUUUGUGGCCAGAGGAGUCCGAGGCACUUCCUCAUGCUCUGUGUGAGAUUCGCAUUUCUGGGUGGCAUUUGGGCUAAUGGCCAAAGUUCAGGUUGAACCAAUUCGAAGCCUGGUUCAGCAUCAAACCCUGACUCGGCUCUUGGAUUUAUUUUCAGUUUGACUAUUGCAGAUAACCAGGGAAUGGUGUAUUUCACUUACUUCAGAUUAGUUUGAAUUUCAUUACAUACCCAGUGAGCCAACUCCUUAGGAAUUCUGUCCACUGCCAUUUUUAAAUUUCACUGGUAACUUUUACCAUUAGUGAUUGAUGGCAGUACAGCAGCUCUUUCAUACCAAUCAUGACUAGGUAGCCAUCAAGGCAUUAAUGUUCCCGUAUCUCCUGACAUUUCAUUCUUUCUCUAUAGAAGCCACGUAUUUCCGUGAGCCUGCAUUGGUCCAGCAAAUCCCGCUUCUCUGACAGCAAAUAGGACAGGGUACCUUAACUCCUCUUGGGUGUCUGGACCAAAUACCAGCGUGUCUUGGGGGGCAGAGAGUAGGGUAUUCCCACAUACACAAGACCUAGAAAUUCUCAAAUACCAGCAGGGGGUAUGAUAAUUGUGAUACUGUGUGCCUGGAGACAGCACCAGAUCAAUCAGGUCAAAGGCUCCAUCCCACAAGACUGCCCUCCACACACCCACCCCCACUGCACAUGCCAAUUGUAAGACCCAGAUAGUCCCAUGUGCUUCCGACCUACCAGCUACAGAUUGGAGAUUCCCAUGCCUUCCCCCUAGGGAUCAAUUAAUUUCCUAUAGUGGCUCACAGAAUUCCGUUUGGGUCGGGUUUACACAUUUGUGGGAUGCUUACCAGAGACAGAGUGGCUGGUCAGUCAUGGGACUGCCAGUCCAGGUUGGGUGGAGAAGAAACACCCAUUCUCUCCUCCCCUCGGCUCCUGGCACUUGCCGGUCAGGUGCUCUCCAUUCACCAGAAGCCAGCCCACAGUGCUCCCCCGAUGUGGGAGGUCAGCCAAGAGAGCAGCCGGAGAGGGAUGCUGGGGGGCAGGAGCUUGGGAUCCAGGUGAGGGGGUAUCCUGAGCAGUGCCCGACACAGCUGCCGUUGUGAGCCAGGAGAAGCUGAGCUGUGAGAAUAAAUUCUUUCAUCCAAAGUGCUUUUGUUUUCAUUUGGCCUCAUGGAAUUCAUAGGGAAGGUGUCUCAGGCACAGAAUCCCCUCUGCGCAGUGCUACCUUCUUGGUGCAGACAGUGUGAUUAGGCAAGACCAAAGGGCUGCCCUCAUGAAUGGGUGGAAGACACGGGAAUCUGUGUAGGGGUUGUGUAGAAACACCCAGGGAUCCCUCAGUGGGGAUUUCAUCUGUGGUGUCUUGCCUUUUAAAGGAUUGGGGUCCUCCUUAGAACUGGGGGAGGGAUGGGGAUGCCUGGGACAGUUGAGUUGGCCUUCUGCAAAAUGGGGGACUCCUCAGGGGAGCCGAGUGCCUGUGCAGCAGUGGGAAGUGGGGGUUGGACGUUUGGCACCACUUGAAAGAGUGACUGAGGAGAGAUGUACUUUGGCAGGAAAGGGGAGAACCGGAAUGCAAGUUGUGAGAUGCUAUGAGGAAGGAACAGAAGGUAUUAAAGACUGAGAUAGUGGUGCCGAGAGAUGUAGUUAUGGCACGGGAAUGGGCCAUGGGAGAAUGCAGGUCGUGAUAGGCCAUGAGGGAGGGAAGAACGGUUUGCAGACUUCAGCCCCAUAACUGGUAGACGAGACAUCAGGGGAAGAGCAGCUCGGGAAGGGUGAGGAUGUGGGGCCAAGGGCAUAGGCGCUGCUGGUGCUGCUGGGACUGGAGUCACUGCUGGAGGCACCAGCCCCUCCCCGGUGAGAGCCUGCAUGGUGGUUUUAAAGGAAGUAAUGGAACAACAGUGGGUCCCUGUAAGCCCAGGGAGGAAAUCCCAGGACAAAUACCUCUAAAAACCAAAAUCAGUCAAAGGGAGAAAUAAAGUUUAAAACCCAUUUAUUGCUUACAAACUGCAGUCCAGGGCCGGCUCCCCUGGCUCCUGAGGAAGCAAGCCAGCCCCUCCCUUUAAACUCUUAGGUUCAGACAUGCCCUUGGUUGCCCUGGUAAUUACCCAUUGCCAUGGAGAUGAGCUCCUCUCCAGCCCGAGGAUAUGCAAAUGCACUAAAGCCAGGCGAGAUGUUCUGGAUAUGUUACAGUUUUACCCACAGUACCUCAGGGAGAGAUGCAGCCCCUCCCCAGGCUGUGGGGCACUCCAUGCUCUGCCCCUAUAUCCAUGCUGAACUGGCGGACUUGAGCUCCCCGAUGUCUGCAGGAUGCUGCCUUUUGUGCCUUUGGGACUCAGGAGUAGAUGGAAUUACUCCAUCUGGGUGAGAAGCGGGGAAGCCGGCUUCCCUGAUGACUCAUGCCUCCAUCUGACAGAGAUUGCCCGGUGCUGCUCAGACCCCAGGGAGCCACAGCAUUCUCAGUGGGAAGACUGCAGCUCUCCGGGCCCCGUGGCGUAAUCAGGGCGAUUUGCUGUCUCCCUCUAGGUGGGAGAUGUUUGCUGAACUCCUACAGGUGUUACAGGAAUUGGGCUUGAAGAACAUCCUUAAAACACGGAGCAUCAGGGUCCAGAUGAGGAGUUGCUCACCAUGGGAAUGAGAGUCUGGCGCUACGAACAGCUCCCCCUCCCUCUCUGGGUCCCUAGUGGCUGUUCUUUCUUGCCCCUCACUUAGGGCAGCGCAUAAAUGAGGUCACUGGCACUGCAGCAGAUCCGGGAGAGGCUGAGACAAUGAGAGCAUGGAAGGAACUGUGGUCUGCUAUGCAGAGAAAGGUUUAACAGGUGCUGUGAAAUUUCAAGGAUCCAGAUGUGGCUUGAAUUUGAUAAAGGGGACAAUAAAUGAGGGAUUAGAAGGGCAUCCAGUAAAUUCUUGCUAGAUCUUUGGCAACAAAGCCAGAGCAGCAUUUCCCGCUACUGAGACCCAAGACAUGGGAGGUGGAGGCAGAGCCGCGUCUGGCCUGUGGGACUGCAGGGCUUCCUGGGGGGGAGUGCUCCAACCCCACGUGCACCCACACAGGGAGAUGUUUGGGCAUUGCAGUUUGGGGCGGGAUGUGUUGGGCACCAGAGGCCACAUAUUGAGUUAACAAUUCAUCAGUUCCCAGUGAAUGUGCAACGUGUCCCGGCACCUGUGGACACAGGAGCUGGAUCUUCUCUGCCUUUGGCAACCCUGAGCGGUUUCCUGGGGCCCCUGCUGUGACAGAUGGCUACAGGGAAAAGGCAAUUAGAGUGAAGAGAGCCCAAAUCCCAUUGGGAAUAGGCAUCUGCCCCCAGCGGAGUGUCCUAUAUAUAUCUCCCAUAUCUGAAUAUAUUUUGGGGUGGCUAUCCUGCAAAGCCUGUAGUUACAGACCACUGCAGGUGAGUUCAGACUUAGAAUAUGUGUGAUAAAGGCAGUUCUGAGGGGACAUUCUAAACACCUGCCUAUAGUUUUGCCUGUGCCUCAGUGGGUGACAAAUACUAAGGAAUCUAAAUUGCCUGGGGCAUAAAUAAAUUGAAGAAAGUCUUCAAGAGCUGGAGAAGGUGGGCAUUAUAAAGCCCACUCAUAGUUCUUUUAACUCCCUGGCAUGGCCAAUGAAAAAGCAGGACAGCUCCUGGCAUAUGAAUAUGGGUUACAGGGAAUUGACUAAAGCCACACCCCCUUUGCACGCUGCUGUUCCCUCUAUAGUAGACCUUAUGGACACCCUCAGUCAUGAACAACGGAUGUACCAGUAUGCUGCGGACCUUGGUAAUGCCUUCCUUUUUAUCGACAUGGCACAGGAAAGUCAGGAACAGUUUGCCUUCACAUUGGAAGGCUGGCAGUGGACAUUCACUGUCCUUCCGUGGGGAUACCUCCACAGUCCCACCAUCUGUUGUGGACUUGCAGCCCAGGCCUUGGCCAUGUGGAAGAAACCGCAAGCAGUGUGGCUGUGUCACUACACUGAUGAGAUGCUCACAUCUGAUUCUCUUGCAUACUUAGCAGGGGCAGCUCCUAGGCUGCUGCAGCUCCUACAGGAGAAAGGAUGGGCUGUGGACAGCACCCAGGUUCAGGGACCUGGUUUCUCUGUAAAGUUCUUGGGGUUGUCUGGUCGGGUAAGACUAGAGGUGUCCCAGAAGCAGUCAUAGACGAGGUCCAGGCUCUCCCCACCUCUACCACUGUGGCAGCAUUACCAGAGGUCUUUGAGUCUUUUGGGCUACUGGUGUGUUUAUACCACACUUGGCACAAAUUCUGAGGUACUUGCACUGGUAUAAAAUGGCAUCAGGUGGACGGGUUGAGACAUGCAUCUGCCUUUGCCCUUGCUAAGCAGGUAGUCAAGGCCAUGCUGUCCUUGAGGGUAAUGGACCCAUCAAGGCCCUGUGAGCUGGAUGUUAUGUAAGUGAAUUUGGUUUUAGGCAGAGCCUCUGGCAGUGUCUUAAACCAUCCCAACAACCUGUUGGAUACUGGUUACAACUCUGGAAAGGAGCAGAGAUCCAGUAUCUUGAUAGAGAAGUGAUUGGCUUCUGUGUACUGUACCUUGCUGGCUAUGAAGCUCAUCUCCGGGGCAGCCCUGACAAAGAUAAUAAUAACCACCUACCCCAUUGUGGGAUGGGUAUGAGACUGGACCCAGAGGCCUCAGAGUGGUGUGGCACGGAUGUGUAAACAGUCCAAAUGUGCACAUACCUACAGCAGCAUAGUGCCCUCUCUUCUGGAUCCUUGAGUGGAGAACUCCAAUGCUGAUUGGGGCCAGUGACAUUUACCAGUGAAAACCAGGAAGAAUUUACUUUACAGCCAUUAGUAGCAGAGAGCCCUUAUCCGGAGGGAAGAGUCCCUGUACCCGAAGAUACAUGGUAUGCACAUGAGUCCAGCCAUGGGCAGCCCACAAAGUGGGGGCCUGUGAUUUCCCAUCCUAAGAUGGAGACAAUGUGGAUGGAGGGUGGGGAAGAGCAGAGUUGCAGGCAGUGUGGCUCAGUGAUCCCCCAGGAGCCCUCCCCCGUAGCUGUCUGCACUGACAGCUGGGCCGGCUAUCAGGGCUUGACCCCGUGGCUACCGGCAUGGUACCGUGGCAGCCGGAUUGUUAGUCACCAGCCCCUUUAGGGGCAGGAGUUUUGACAAGACUUAUGGGCCUUUCAUCGGACUAAAACAGUUACCAUACAUCAUGUGACAGUCCAUUUGCCUUUGGCCUUCCCAGGGAAUGAUAAAGCAGACACACUGGCCUAGGUGGGUUGCCUAGAAGGAAACCCUGCCUCUGAUGUGGUCCAAUGGUUAUAUCAUCAUUUCUUGCAUGUGUGGCAAAAGGCAAUGUGGGCUGUAGCCCACCCUUGGGGCCUGCCUUUGACCUUUGAAUAAGUCAGCAGAGCCCGGAAGGAGUGCCUUGUGUGCUCUAAGAGGGAUUUAUACGGAGUUCCACAGCAACAUGGGAAAAUAGUUCAGGGGCUGAUAACCCUUGUCAGGUGGCAGGUAGACUGUAAGGCGCCUGUGUCUCUCUCAGAAGGGUAUCAGCAUUCCAUGGAUUGUGUGGUCGCAGCUGCUGGACUGUUGCUUGCUCUGCCUACAUGUUGUAAAGAUCAGCAAACAAACAAAAGGGGCCUAGUGCGUCUCCUUGAAACCUGUGUCCAGCUUCAGGUGACUGAGUGUGCUGAAGGCACCAACUUUACUGGACGUGGAUUAAAAGGAUGGCUGCAAUAAUCAGGUGCAAGGUGGAAGCUUCAUGUGUCAUAUAACCAUGCUGGGACAGGCAUGAAAUAGAGGUACACUGGUCAUUAAAAUCUGGCUUGAUGUCAGACAGCAAUAGUUUAUGGGCUGUUCAGUCCACUUGUGGACAGUGUUGCUGUGUUCGAACGAGAAGUCCCAGAAGCCAGCAUUGAGCCCAGUGGACAUGCCAGCACACAUUGCUACCCCCCUGUAUAACUGCAUGUACAAAUGAAGGUGCAGUUGUUGAAGCCAGGGUUUGGCCACCAGAAUAACAUCCUGAUAUCAGCACCAACUGCACUAAAUCCUGGAGACUCCAUUGAGUGAAUGUGGCCUUCGGCUUUUUGACAAAGAGACCGGUGAUAGCUGGCCCUUCUCACAUCGCACGGACAUGGCCAGGAAGCUAGCGUUUGUGUUUCUGGAUUGAAAGCAGAAUGAACCCCCAAAAUAAUGGCAGUGUACCCCAAACAUCUGAAAGUUAAUCUCGUCUGCAGUCCUUGUGGAUUGGGCCUGCCCCCAGCCAGAGCUGCUGCUUGCUGCGUGGGCCUGGAGAUCCCUGCCGUUCCAGCUACUGGCCUCCUGUGGAGUGUGUGAGAUACGGACUCAGUCUGAAUAGGACUUUGAACUCAGCUGGGUCCUCAAAGCUUGAGGAUUGACAUGGUUUUCUUGGAAUGUUGCUGUGGUGGAAUCUGGUUGGCAUGCUUUAGCCAACCAGGCUAGAUUGUGGCACAUAGGAAGAUUGUGGGCACAUAGACUGUGAGGCAAGAACCCUGGAGGGGUUGAUUCUGGGAAAUAUGGAACAUCUGACCAGAAUACAUGCCUGGCCUUAAUAGCACCCAUUGUGUGUGUGUGUGUGUAGAAUAAGAGCAUGUUUGCAUAUUAUGGGAUGUUUCCCAGGGACAGAGCAGCUGGUCAGUCAUGGGAUUGCCAGGCCAAGUUAGGGGUGGAGGGUGUUCUCCACCCCUUCCCAGUCUCGGGGCGGGGCCCAGUCCUCCAGGAGGUAAGCCAUGUGGGCCCACAUGUCCACUGGGGGUCACUCAAAUGUCUCCCAUCUGUAGGAGCAGCCGCUGAGACACUCCUUCCACGAGGGCAGCCUGUUCUGCUCCUUGGUCACCGAUGAAUCCUGCCAACGUCGCCAACUGUCGCCGCUCAGAGCGAGUCUGCACGCAGCAAGCCGCUCUCUGCCUCUGGGCCUCUCUGCCCUCUGAGCCGUCUCAUGGCAGAGAACACAUGAUCCUAAUUAUGGGAUAGGGCCUGUAUCUGUACCCAGAAAGUCUUACAGCCAUGCUACUUGAGAUGGAAUCUGAAGUGGCUAUGAAACAAUGGACAACUGUUUUAGCUCCUGAAGCCCAGGAAACAUAUUCAUUGAAAACUUCUGCUCUUCCCUGUUUAUGGGAGGUAAUAGAAGGAACCAUUGAGUUACACCAUUGCUCUCUAACACCACUGGUUCCUAAGUUAAAUCAACAAAAGGCCCAUCAAGUAGUAUGGCUAGUGGGAAGAGGUGCCAUGCAUGCAAACAACCACAUACUUCCAAGGGGACAUGAUGGACCCUCUUUACAAAAAAAUGACACCUCACUUAGAUGGGAGCCCAUCUCAGACCUAAAUUGUGAACAGCGCAAGGGAAUUUGGUUAUGCCCCCAAAAAUAUUGGGUUCUAGAGAUAAUUACAACUUGGCCCAAGGCAAAAACAAUGUAUGACAUAUGGGAAGGGGAUGGUUUUCUUGGGAAGGAAUUGGAAAAUCAAACUGUCCAUCUACCCGACCACUACUGUGGACAAGCUGAACUUAUGUAACAACCGAUACACGGUGCAGUACAGAAGUUACAGGAAAAUAUACUUGCCUGAGGUCAGUAGAACUUGUGAAAUUCCUGAUAUGGAUGACUGUGCUUUUGGGGAGCUUGAAUUAAGACCCUCAGCCAAGGUCAAAAUAAUGGAAGAUGACUGGCUGGAGGAGAAACUGGCCAUAGCCUCUCAAGAACUAAAGGAAGCCUUACAACAAGCUGGGAAAACUUUUCACAGAGUAUAGGUGGCUGCAGAUGAAGGGGAAAAAGAAUAGUUAAAUAGAUAAAAGAAUAUGAUGUUUGUUCAGUCUCUA
Non-coding RNA from Manis javanica (Malayan pangolin), 10733 nucleotides. NCBI's taxonomy places the organism in Eukaryota, Metazoa, Chordata, Mammalia, Pholidota, Manidae. The record is from RefSeq and is a predicted model, not a curated record.